This 62-nucleotide transfer RNA is filed under the name Cycetogamasus diviortus. RNAcentral describes it as "tRNA-Glu". The record is from RNAcentral. Lineage: Eukaryota; Metazoa; Arthropoda; Arachnida; Mesostigmata; Parasitidae.
AUUUUUAUAGUAUAAUAUAAUACAUGACAUUUUCAGUGUCAAACUGUUUUCAACUUAAAAUA